RNAcentral lists this ribosomal RNA (440 nucleotides) under uncultured bacterium. Its description in RNAcentral is "partial 16S ribosomal RNA". It matches the Rfam family "Bacterial small subunit ribosomal RNA", at positions 338 to 795 of the family's 1533-position model. The record is from RNAcentral.
CCUACGGGGGGCAGCAGUAGGGAAUAUUGCUCAAUGGGGGAAACCCUGAAGCAGCAACGCCGCGUGUAGGAUGAAGGUUUUCGGAUUGUAAACUCCUUUUGUUAGAGAAGAUAAUGACGGUAUCUAACGAAUAAGCACCGGCUAACUCCGUGCCAGCAGUCGCGGUAAUACGGAGGGUGCAAGCGUUACUCGGAAUCACUGGGCGGAAAGAGCGCGUAGGCGGGAUAGCAAGUCAGAUGUGAAAUCCUAUGGCUUAACCAUAGAACUGCAUUUGAAACUGUUAUUCUAGAGUAUGGGAGAGGUAGGUGGAAUUCUUGGUGUAGGGGUAAAAUCCGUAGAGAUCAAGAGGAAUACUCAUUGCGAAGGCGACCUGCUAGAACAUAACUGACGCUGAUGCGCGAAAGCGUGGGGAGCAAACAGGAUUAGAUACCCGAGUAGUC